RNAcentral lists this ribosomal RNA (642 nucleotides) under Leuconostoc sp. B 244. Its description in RNAcentral is "bacterial SSU rRNA". It matches the Rfam family "Bacterial small subunit ribosomal RNA", at positions 70 to 698 of the family's 1533-position model. Lineage: Bacteria; Bacillati; Bacillota; Bacilli; Lactobacillales; Lactobacillaceae. The record is from RNAcentral.
CGAGAGGUGCUUGCACCUUUCAGCGAGUGGCGAACGGGUGAGUAACACGUGGAUAACCUGCCUCAAGGCUGGGGAUAACAUUUGGAAACAGAUGCUAAUACCGAAUAAAACUUAGUAUCGCAUGAUACAAAGUUAAAAGGCGCUACGGCGUCACCUAGAGAUGGAUCCGCGGUGCAUUAGUUAGUUGGUGGGGUAAAGGCUUACCAAGACAAUGAUGCAUAGCCGAGUUGAGAGACUGAUCGGCCACAUUGGGACUGAGACACGGCCCAAACUCCUACGGGAGGCUGCAGUAGGGAAUCUUCCACAAUGGGCGCAAGCCUGAUGGAGCAACGCCGCGUGUGUGAUGAAGGCUUUCGGGUCGUAAAGCACUGUUGUAUGGGAAGAAAUGCUAAAAUAGGGAAUGAUUUUAGUUUGACGGUACCAUACCAGAAAGGGACGGCUAAAUACGUGCCAGCAGCCGCGGUAAUACGUAUGUCCCGAGCGUUAUCCGGAUUUAUUGGGCGUAAAGCGAGCGCAGACGGUUGAUUAAGUCUGAUGUGAAAGCCCGGAGCUCAACUCCGGAAUGGCAUUGGAAACUGGUUAACUUGAGUGUUGUAGAGGUAAGUGGAACUCCAUGUGUAGCGGUGAAGCCGUNAUUAAAAA